Molecule: long non-coding RNA, 404 nt
Filed under: Capsicum annuum
Lineage: Eukaryota; Viridiplantae; Streptophyta; Magnoliopsida; Solanales; Solanaceae
Description: long non-coding RNA (CANN_LNC007958)
Source: RNAcentral
CACAUCACAAACAUAUUGAGGUUGAACAAGUUUAUAUCUCGAAAAGGGUGUUAAAAUCUGUGAUGAAGGAUUACACGAUUCGAGAGAAGUUUCAAUCCUGAUCUGUUAGAUCAAGUAAAACCUGGUAAGUUUGUCAUAUAUGUAAAAUCUGUUGUUUAUUUCUUGUUAAAUUUUAUUACAGCAUAUGUAUUUAAAAAAUACAUAUAGAUUAUUUUUUUGUACAUGUUGUAAAUUACAUUACACCAUUUUUUUUGCAGUUACACAUUAAUAUGCAAAUCAUGUAAUUGUGAUUUUUUAUUUCGUUCAUCUGAUAUCAACAAAUCAGGAAUGUUUUGUGUUAGAGAAUUCUUACCCGAACACACAUGUCCGAUAAAGGAUAAGAUUUAUCCUAAGUUUCAUGCUAC